GCGCACUAUGAUGGAAUCGACAAGUCGGCAGCAAAGACCAUUUCUGAUGCAACGCGCUUUCUCAAGAAUCAGGAGUCAUGGAGUUCUUGGAUUUGCCUCAAUUCCCGUUGUGAUGGCAAGAAGUUUCAGACACUAGUUCGCUCUGGCAACACAUAUGCAGCAAGCACCGAGAUGAGCUCUGGGGGAAGCUGCAGUCACUUAUAGAUCCAGUAUAUUAUGAGAAUACAUCACAGGAUGAUCACUCGUUGGUUGGGAUAACUCUCAGCCGCCAGUCUGACACCUUCCUUUUACCAAGGGUGCAGGAUAUGUUUGAAUCCUUGCUGCUUUCACCAUCUGUUGGAAUACAGGCAGAGCCCUUCACUGAAAUGCGACAAAGGAAAUGCAGAGAAGGAUCUGAGAUCCUUGGGAGCAUCAGGGAGAAGCUGAGGAUGUUGCCUAAAGAUACACUUAGCACUAAGUUUCAGGAGUGCUGUUCUCGAAUAGAGAAAUUGUGGCUAAAGUUUCUUCAAGUUACUGUUGUGGACUAUCGUGAAAUCAUUCUUCCCCUUGCAAGAUCAUACCAAUGGAUAGAAUUGAAGAAACGGAUUCCUUUUUAUCUAAAUCAUCCUGGUACCAGGCGUCUUGGAUUUGCUGAUGCCAAUAUUGAUAUUAUAUGCGGAACUUCUGGCCACUCUGUCAAGGAAACGGCAAGCACCUCCAGUUCUCAACAAAGCCUUACUGUUUCCCACAAGAACAAUGCUGAUAAAGAAUUGUCUAUCUUGAGUGUAAUCAUACAGUCAUUGUGCAAUCUGAGGCAUUUCAGAGAUAAACUUCUGAUGGGGCCACUUGUAUGGAUCCCGUCAGUUGAUAAUCCCUGCAUUGCACAGCAAUUUUAUGAAAUCUUCUCUUCUUGGGAGAAAAACGACCACCACUUAACCGAUGUUGUACUGACUUACAUGAAGACUCUUCUCUGCAGAGUUGUAGAUUGCAGCACUUUUUAUGAAAAGGUUGGGAAAACUUUUGCUUCUGAGAUUGUGGCCACAAUUCUCAUUGAAUUGCAUAUGUCAGAAACUUGUUCGCGUUUUAGAGAAAACAAGGAGACCGAGAGACAUGUAGUGAACCGAAUCACGUGCGGAGAUUGCAUAUGCCCAACACAUUAUCUUUUUGGGAUCAAAUUCGAUGCUCAAAUCAGCUGUAGCUGUGGGAAGUCUUCCGGUGGAUACCUGUAUACCACACUUUUCCAUAAACUUGAUGCCGGUUCACCUCAAACAGCAAAGAUCAAGUCCUCUGCAGAGCUUCCGGUUCUAUUGGAUGAACAGUUCCGCGAGGACAACAAAUGCGACCAUUGUGGAAGUCUGCAGAAUAUUGAUCUUUUUCUUGCAAACACACCACACUUCUUUACAAUAGUUUUGAACUGGCUGGGUGGCAGUGAAAGCCAGGACACACUAUCUGAAGUUCUGGCUGGCAUCACGUCUCCCCUUGACACUGAGUUCUUUUGCAGAAGUGCUCAUUCUGCAGCUAUGUAUGCUGUCACAUCCAUGGUACGUGCACAGCAAACUAUUCUAUUUUCCUAAAUUGAAUUGUUAAUGGAGCUGAACAAAUAUUUUUAUCAUUUAAUUCUCAUGUUAAGGUAAUCCUGAAAUGAGAAAAAGCAAUGAGCUAUUUGUAUUGGUUGACGUUCAUGACCUUUUGUAAGUUGUGUUGCUAAUUAUUUACUGUUCCUUGACUGUUACUGGAGGCCAAGUUGGUAUUGUUCUAAGACUGAAGCAAGGUUCUUACUUUUGUGGAACAAAACGGAUCAUGGUUAAACGGCGUUGUCACCUGGUUCAAAUUGCCUAUUUUACAUUGACAAGGCAUUUUGCUGCUAUGUCUAAAGAAGUGGAUAGAAGGUUUAAACUAUGAUACAUCAUAUCUGAGUUGGUUCGUACUUGGAGUUGGAGAGAUAUUUGCAAGUUUUCGAAUGGUCCUAUCUGUGGCAUAUUUUUUCCUGCCUACUUCACUUAUAUCAAGAUAUUUAGAAGACUCGACAGAAGAAUUUCAGCAAGAAUCAAUAGCUUGUGUGAUCCUUACGUCGCUGAGUUCUUUUUAUAAACGUUCCAUUGAUUGAACGGUUGAAGAAGUAUCAUAUGUAGAUCUGCUAUGCUGAUGACCGCUACCUCUGCUUUGCUCGCGACGAGGACAAGUGGGUCAUAUAUGGCUUCGAGACUGUUGAGAGAGAAGAUAGUUGGGAGCAUUUGCUAGAACGUUUCAAGGACUGCAAGCUCCAGCCUGAAUUUCUAUUUUUCGAGGUCAUCAAGUAGACUGUUGUAUAGCUACUUUGCAGAAUGCAGACCUCUGUCUGACGAUCAGAGCCAACUCUGGACCCAGUUUUUUUUUUGUUUCAUUGCCACUAUUUUGAUGUUGUUUGGCUUGAUCACUCUGACAUACGAAUACAGAUAAAUUCUUCAGAGAUGGUAUAAAUUGUUCUGUGUGUUCUUAACUCGAAA
Non-coding RNA from Triticum urartu, 2465 nucleotides. The record is from RefSeq and is a predicted model, not a curated record. NCBI's taxonomy places the organism in Eukaryota, Viridiplantae, Streptophyta, Magnoliopsida, Poales, Poaceae.